This 506-nucleotide ribosomal RNA is filed under the name Salmonella enterica subsp. enterica serovar Typhimurium. RNAcentral describes it as "partial 23S ribosomal RNA". It matches the Rfam family "Bacterial large subunit ribosomal RNA", at positions 119 to 666 of the family's 2925-position model. The record is from RNAcentral. Lineage: Bacteria; Pseudomonadati; Pseudomonadota; Gammaproteobacteria; Enterobacterales; Enterobacteriaceae.
UGGGGAAACCCAGUGUGAUUCGUCACACUAUCAUUAACUGAAUCCAUAGGUUAAUGAGGCGAACCGGGGGAACUGAAACAUCUAAGUACCCCGAGGAAAAGAAAUCAACCGAGAUUCCCCCAGUAGCGGCGAGCGAACGGGGAGGAGCCCAGAGCCUGAAUCAGCAUGUGUGUUAGUGGAAGCGUCUGGAAAGGCGCGCGAUACAGGGUGACAGCCCCGUACACAAAAGCGCAUGUGCUGUGAGCUCGAUGAGUAGGGCGGGACACGUGGUAUCCUGUCUGAAUAUGGGGGGACCAUCCUCCAAGGCUAAAUACUCCUGACUGACCGAUAGUGAACCAGUACCGUGAGGGAAAGGCGAAAAGAACCCCGGCGAGGGGAGUGAAAAAGAACCUGAAACCGUGUACGUACAAGCAGUGGGAGCACAGGUUUACCUGUGUGACUGCGUACCUUUUGUAUAAUGGGUCAGCGACUUAUAUUCUGUAGCAAGGUUAACCGUAUAGGGGAGC